This 1155-nucleotide long non-coding RNA is filed under the name Apteryx haastii (Great spotted kiwi). RNAcentral's name for it is "lncRNA (ENSAHAG00000000797.1)". Lineage: Eukaryota; Metazoa; Chordata; Aves; Apterygiformes; Apterygidae. The record is from RNAcentral.
NNNNNNNNNNNNNNGGGUUAGGGUAUAAAUGCAGAUUAGGGUGUGCACCCAGGUUGUGGUGUGCACCCAGGUUAGCGGGACAAGGGGGUCCCGGCUGCUUCGCACCGCGGUGGGGAGAGGGCUCAAUCCCCGCGUUUCGCCACGGCCGUGCUUGGCACCGGGCCACCGCCGGGUGCAGGAGACGGGCCCAGGGCAGGCGGGGGGGCGACGUGGGGCAGGAGGAGGUGCYGAAGCUGCCGGCAUCCCCGCGUGGCCCUGGGGGGCCGGGGAGCCGAGCCUGCACGUGCCGGGGAGCUGCCGGCAGCUGCUCGCCGCUCCGGUGCGGCGGGCCCGGUUCAUCCCAGGUCCCAGCGUUUCUAAUCUCGUUUGGAAGGAUUUAUUUUUGGGUCCUCGUAACCUAGCAAUGGGGCACGUGACGCGCGGGGCCUGCGGCAUGAAUAUGCAUCGGCCGCCUCACCGGCCGGCCGUCUCGCAGCCCCUCCGUGCCACCGGCCACCGGGACCCGCUCGGCCAGGGCUCGAGCCUGGGCACCCGCAGAGCCAGGCCUGGCACCCAGGGCACUGCCAGGAGGAAGUUUGCAGCCUGUGCAGGCUUCGGGGGGCGUGGGGGGGCCCUGGGAAGCGAUGGAAACCCACUUGCAAGGAAACAGUUGGGGAAACUGAGGCACGGCGCAUGGCAGGGAUGCUCUGCCCCGAUCCCGGUUGCUCCGUUGCUGCGCUGGGAGCAGAGGGAAGGGGCGCCGGGCCAGGUCCCGGCGGAGCUGGGUGCCCCGUUUGCCUCGUGCAGCCCCCCGCACCCAGCUCCGUGCCCCGCGUGCUCCGUCGCCGCCAGCACCCGGGUGCUUCCCUCGCCUGUCACCGUCCUCCCACCCCGGCCCCCCCGCGCUGCCCCCGGCGGGUUCCCUCUCCCAGUUCCCCCAGUCCCAGCACCCGCUCACGGGGCGUCAGCACCCACCCUGCUCCCCACGAGCAAGGGCACGGACUGGGGAAACCGAGGCCUGACACCAGGGUGAAGGCCGCCUGCCGGCGAGGAAGGAGGGGGGGGGCCCAGGAGUCCUGGCCACCCCAGAUGUCCCAACGCUGGGGGGGGCGAAGCGAGGUGCCACCGCGGCGGUGACAUCGCCGGGCUCCAUCUCCCUGGCCGGCGCCCGCCGCC